RNAcentral lists this ribosomal RNA (927 nucleotides) under uncultured archaeon. RNAcentral describes it as "bacterial SSU rRNA". It matches the Rfam family "Archaeal small subunit ribosomal RNA", at positions 1 to 934 of the family's 1478-position model. The record is from RNAcentral.
UUUUCCGGUUGAUCCUGCCGGAGGUCACUGCUAUUGGGAUUCGACUAAGCCAUGCGAGUCGAGAGGGUUCGGCCCUCGGCUGACGGCUCAGUAACACGUGGAUAAUCUGCCCUAAGGUGGAGGAUACCCUCGGGAAACCGAGAAUAAUACUCCAUAGGUCUAGGAUGCUGGAAUGCACUUAGACUUAAAGCUCCGGCGCCUUAGGAUGAGUCUGCGGACUAUCAGGUUGUAGUCAGGGUAAUGACCUGACUAGCCUACGACGGAUACGGGUUGUGAGAGCAAUAACCCGGAGAUGAUAUCUGAGACACGAUAUCAGGCCCUACGGGGCGCAGCAGGCGCGAAAACUUCACAAUGUGCGAAAGCACGAUGAGGGAAUCCCAAGUGCUUGCUCGUUAGAGUAAGCUGUUUCUAUGUUUAAAACGCAUGGAGAGUAAGGGCUGGGUAAGACGGGUGCCAGCCGCCGCGGUAAUACCUGCAGCUCUAGUGGUGACCGCUAUUAUUGGGCCUAAAACGUCCGUAGCCGGUUUAAUAAAUGCCUGGGUAAAUCGUGUAGCUUAACUAUACGAAUUCCGGGUAGACUGUUAAACUUGAGACCGGGAGAAGUUAGAGGUACUCCUGGGGUAGAGGUGAAAUUCUGUAAUCCUAGGGGGACCACCAGUGGCGAAGGCGUCUGACUAGAACGGGUCUGACGGUGAGGGACGAAGCCCUGGGGCGCAAACCGGAUUAGAUACCCGGGUAGUCCAGGGUGUAAACGCUGCUUGCUUGAUGUUAGUCGGGCUCCGAGCCCGAUUAGUGUCGGAGAGAAGUUGUUAAGCAAGCUGCCUGGGAAGUACGGUCGCAAGACUGAAACUUAAAGGAAUUGGCGGGGGAGCACAGCAACGGGUGGAGCGUGCGGUUUAAUUGGAUUCAACGCCGGGAAUCACUAGU